This is a long non-coding RNA of Arabidopsis lyrata subsp. lyrata, 826 nucleotides long. RefSeq lists it as uncharacterized. The record is from RefSeq and is a predicted model, not a curated record. NCBI's taxonomy places the organism in Eukaryota, Viridiplantae, Streptophyta, Magnoliopsida, Brassicales, Brassicaceae. The transcript is spliced from 5 exons.
CCCAAUAUGUAUUUGGACCUGAUACCUUUGAUAUUUAGUAUCGGAUGACGUGGCAGAACACGAUUGGUUUGUGGGUUACGCAGAAAAAAAAAAAAAAAAAUCUUUCUCUCGAUUCUUCUUCUCUCCUCUAACGGCGAAUCGCCGAUUUCUUCUUCUUCUCCUCCGUUCUCAUCGCCGGCGAUUCUCCCGAUCCCUUAUCUACCGUUGUAUCGACCUACUUCAGCUACGGAUUGCUCUUUGCUUUUGGCCAGCUCCGUGAUUUCUUCCGCCGCUUCAUUGAUUGGUGGCUCACUAGCAAUCUCCAGGGAUACGCGCCUAUCUGUUUGGGGCAUGAGGAUUUUUAUAUUAGGCGAUUGUAGCAUCGGAUUCAGUAUUGUUUUGAACGGCCUAUAUCGAGUGCACCUGAUGCUUGGUUUGAUGUGGUCGAGCGUUACUCUAAUGCUAACAACAAGACGCUUAAAUUGAAGUUUUGAAGUUAAAUGAAGAAGUUUCACGGUUGGAGCAGAUGCCUCAUCCGGAUGUGAAGCCAAUGGCAUAUGCAAACAAUUUUCAUGUUGUUCCAGGAAAGGGAGCCCAUGAUAAUUAAAGGUACAGUAUCCGGAUUUGAUCGGUUUUUUCUUCUUGAUAAAGAUGUUCCCUCUUCCUUUAAGCUUAUCCAGCAACUUUUGUCCCUUUUUUCUUAUGUUGUAAGAGGGGGUAAUGGAUCAUUCUUAUUUUAGGUGAAAAAUUUGUGAUUACUCGACAAAAGAGUGUCCAAAUGAGCCCCAAAACUCUCUGUACUUAGAUUUCUUGAAUCAAAAAUCAAAAGGUGGUUCUUUAAAGCUUA